GAUGAACGCUGGCGGCGUGCCUAAUACAUGCAAGUCGAGCGAACAGACGAGGAGCUUGCUCCUCUGACGUUAGCGGCGGACGGGUGAGUAACACGUGGAUAACCUACCUAUAAGACUGGGAUAACUUCGGGACACCGGAGCUAAUCCCGGAUAAUAUAUUGAACCGCAUGGUUCAAUAGUGAAAGACGGUUUUGCUGUCACUUAUAGAUGGAUCCGCGCCGCAUUAGCUAGUUGGUAAGGUAACGGCUUACCAAGGCAACGAUGCGUAGCCGACCUGAGAGGGUGAUCGGCCACACUGGAACUGAGACACGGUCCAGACGCCUACGGGAGGCAGCAGUAGGGAAUCUUCCGGAAUGGGCGAAAGCCUGACGGAGCAACGCCGCGUGAGUGAGGAAGGUCUUCGGAUCGUAAAACUCUGUUAUUAGGGAAGAACAAAUGUGUAAGUAACUAUGCACGUCUUGACGGUACCUAAGCAGAAAGGCACGGCUAACUUCGUG
This 497-nucleotide ribosomal RNA is filed under the name uncultured bacterium. RNAcentral describes it as "partial 16S ribosomal RNA". It matches the Rfam family "Bacterial small subunit ribosomal RNA", at positions 28 to 507 of the family's 1533-position model. The record is from RNAcentral.